Non-coding RNA from Schizosaccharomyces pombe (fission yeast), 1257 nucleotides. Lineage: Eukaryota; Fungi; Ascomycota; Schizosaccharomycetes; Schizosaccharomycetales; Schizosaccharomycetaceae. The record is from the annotation of a GenBank genome assembly.
AUACAUAUGAGGAGUGUAUUGCACAAUGAAUCCGCUUAAACUAGGUCCCAAAGCGGUUCCUAGAUGGUAAGCAGCAAAAUUUAAUCCUAAAUACCAUGCACGAAACUCGGUCUUAGAACAAUCUGCAACAAAGGAAUUUUGGCUGGCUACAACGGUAGAAAUAUAACCGCCUAAGCCUUUCAAGGCAGCAGCAAAAAGAACAAAAUAUGGAUGCUUGGGGGCAUAGGACUGAUAUAAAAGCCAUAAAUCACCAAGCAGCAAAAAUGAGACGGUAAUGAAAAGUACAAGGCGGCGACCAUAAAUAUCCCCCAUUGUUCCAUAAUAAGCGGUGGAAAAAAGACCUAAAAAGGCGGCUAAAGAGCCAAAAGCGGCACGGACUUUUGAAACACCAGUAGUAAUUUCCGCUAGUCGGCAUAUUGGGUCAUCUGGGGACAACUGUGUAGGAUCAAGGUUAUAAUGAAUGGCACAUAGUUCCUGUCGAAGUAAAAAGAGCAGAGGUAUUUCAAUCAUGCCCCAAGAAAAGGCAUUAAUAAAGUUUAAUGGAAGAAUCAAAAGUGGAGAUAAAGAACGUCUUCUGGCGAUUUCACGACAACAGUUAUCAUUGUUACAUAUAGAUUCAUUAUUAUGAUGAGAAUUAGAUGAAUCUGGUUCAUUGAAAGAGAUGGGUUCAUUAGAAUUGGAGGUAGAGUCGUAAUUUUUAGGCUUCGCCUUAAAUGAGUCAUGCGAGCUUGACUUUGCAACGUUAUUAUUGCUUGAACUGGCACCAUUGGUUUCAUGCUUUAAUGAAUGAGAAUUACCGUUGCAUGCAGAACCUUUAGCUUGCAAAGGACAAUCAGAACAGUAUUCUCUUUCUGGUGAAGGAGUUCUGGAUCGAAAGGGCUUGUUCACUGACGGAUCGGAAAUUAGUAAUGGAGUAUGAUCAUCAUCGUGUGAAGACAUUUGUAGCUCCUUCUCAAAAUGGUGGGUACGCUGAUAAAAUAGAAUGUAAAUUAUAACCCAAAUACUCUUCUACUCGAAAUGUUCGCAAUAAUCAAUUAACUCGUUGCCCUCAAACUGCAGCAUCAAUUGUAAAAUUCCUUGCACCUAUAUCCUAAAAAUUUUUCUAUAUGCAAUAUAUACGUUUCACAACGUUUUCGAUUUCGAGAUAAUUAGAAGACUUUAGGUAGUUGGUGCUACUAAGAAGGUUGAGAACCGAAGGAAAAUAUUUGCUCGAGAAAGUAAUUUUGAACUACUAGUUACUAUGAAGAAAUAACUAUA